This is a small nuclear RNA of Lycium ferocissimum, 101 nucleotides long. NCBI's taxonomy places the organism in Eukaryota, Viridiplantae, Streptophyta, Magnoliopsida, Solanales, Solanaceae. The record is from RefSeq and is a predicted model, not a curated record.
GUCCAUUCGGGAACAUUCAAUGAAAUUGGAACGACACAAAGAAGAUUAGCAUGAUCCACACGUAACAUACAAAAAAGAGCAACGAAUUUGACUUCUUUUUU